CAACCAGUUUUAGGUAAUUCUCAUGAAACUAAAAACCCAGGCUCCAUAGGAUGGUGACAUAAAAGUUAUAAUGGGAUCAAAUCUGUGGCGUGAAUACAGAUCUUCUCCUCACUCCUAAUAUCAUGUUUGUAAUUUGUAUUUUGGUUGGAAAGAGUAAUAUGACUAAGAAAAACAGUUAUUCAACUAGUCCAGCUAUCUCUAGGUCUAGAUUUACACAAUAAGGAAAGACUGUUGUGUAAAAGGAUCAGCUAAUUUCUUGAGGGGGGAGGAGAAGGAUCCUCCAGCUGUAUUUGCCUUAGUCAUUAGUUCAAACAUCCCAUUUAUGUAACAUCAUUCCCUAGCUCAUCCGUAAGAGAGACACUGUUGAUUUUGGCUGCGAGCUUAGAGUUGGACAGACAUUGCCACUUGAUCUAAGCAGCUGUCUCCUUGCUAUUCCCUCUGACUUCAUUAUCAUGGACAGAAGCAUGAAUUCAUAAUAGAUCCGCAACAUGUGCCCCAGUACAUAAAAACAGACAUAUGACUCAUCUGAUAACAUCACUGUUUUAAAAGCCAUCCAGAGAGGAUGAAGCAGGGAGGAGUGAAGUUUCCUUAGGGAAGACAGUUGAUUGUUGCAGGAAAUGGGGAGGGAGAGGAUGCCUCUUCUAUUGCAGCAUCUCAUGAUUAGGAAAGUCUAUCCAGGAAGAUGAUCUCUUUUGAAAAAUGGUUUAGCAGCUUGGCUCUCGCUGUGUCUUAUCGUGGACCUGUUUUGGAUGACUGCACCCUCUUCGGACUUUGGAUUGAAUUUGACCUGGCUUCUGUCUACACCCUCUGACUGACGGCUACUCCCGGCUUCUGUCUACACCCUCUGACUGACGGCUACUCCCGGCUUCUGACUAUUGGUUUGUCUUUCGGUAUUUCUGCUGCCUCCCGACCUGACCUUGGAUUCUUCUGACGACGGCUAUUCAUCAUCCCUUUGAGGCUCUCGGCUUAUCUGCACCGUGGAAGCAGCUUUACUGCUUUUCUAGUUUGUUUAUUUUCCAGCAAUUAACUCUAAUUGUUUCACAAAGCUGAAUUGAAGCGUUAUUUAGUUUUUUAUUGAAUGCCAGCAUGGGAAAUUAGCGUGGCUCGUUUUUGAGUUAUUAUUGUUCAAUCUACUCUCGAAACACUGAAAAGUGAAGUGUUUCAAGGAUAUUUCCUGUGUUUAUCUUAUUUUUUGGGAUAUCUUCGGAAUAAACUUUGUUUUGUAUGUUAACUGGCAUCUGACUCUUGACACUUUCUC
This 1258-nucleotide long non-coding RNA is filed under the name Anolis carolinensis (green anole). Its description in RNAcentral is "lncRNA (ENSACAG00000036095.1)". Lineage: Eukaryota; Metazoa; Chordata; Lepidosauria; Squamata; Anolidae. The record is from RNAcentral.